GUAGGAUUUUAAGCAUUAAGCAUGUAUAUAGUUUUUGCUGUGCUCAUAAAGUUCUAUAG
Molecule: microRNA precursor, 59 nt
Filed under: Drosophila melanogaster (fruit fly)
Lineage: Eukaryota; Metazoa; Arthropoda; Insecta; Diptera; Drosophilidae
Description: microRNA dme-mir-4908 precursor
Source: miRBase by way of RNAcentral